This 83-nucleotide microRNA precursor is filed under the name Nomascus leucogenys (northern white-cheeked gibbon). RNAcentral's name for it is "miRNA (ENSNLEG00000028804.1)". The record is from RNAcentral. Lineage: Eukaryota; Metazoa; Chordata; Mammalia; Primates; Hylobatidae.
CCUCACAGCAGUGUUCUGGAAUCCUACGUGAGGGAGAAACACUCAGAACCCAUCAUCUGUGUUCUGGAAUCCUAUGUGAGGGA